GCAGUCGAGCGAACUGAUUAGAAGCUUGCUUCUAUGACGUUAGCGGCGGACGGGUGAGUAACACGUGGGCAACCUGCCUGUAAGACUGGGAUAACUUCGGGAAACCGAAGCUAAUACCGGAUAGGAUCUUCUCCUUCAUGGGAGAUGAUUGAAAGAUGGUUUCGGCUAUCACUUACAGAUGGGCCCGCGGUGCAUUAGCUAGUUGGUGAGGUAACGGCUCACCAAGGCAACGAUGCAUAGCCGACCUGAGAGGGUGAUCGGCCACACUGGGACUGAGACACGGCCCAGACUCCUACGGGAGGCAGCAGUAGGGAAUCUUCCGCAAUGGACGAAAGUCUGACGGAGCAACGCCGCGUGAGUGAUGAAGGCUUUCGGGUCGUAAAACUCUGUUGUUAGGGAAGAACAAGUACAAGAGUAACUGCUUGUACCUUGACGGUACCUAACCAGAAAGCCACGGCUAACUACGUGCCAGCAGCCGCGGUAAUACGUAGGUGGCAAGCGUUAUCCGGAAUUAUUGGGCGUAAAGCGCGCGCAGGCGGUUUCUUAAGUCUGAUGUGAAAGCCCACGGCUCAACCGUGGAGGGUCAUUGGAAACUGGGGAACUUGAGUGCAGAAGAGAAAAGCGGAAUUCCACGUGUAGCGGUGAAAUGCGUAUAGAUGUGGAGGAACACCAGUGGCGAAGGCGGCUUUUUGUU
Molecule: ribosomal RNA, 694 nt
Filed under: Priestia megaterium
Lineage: Bacteria; Bacillati; Bacillota; Bacilli; Caryophanales; Bacillaceae
Description: bacterial SSU rRNA
Rfam family: Bacterial small subunit ribosomal RNA
Source: RNAcentral